Long non-coding RNA from Oncorhynchus keta (chum salmon), 919 nucleotides. RefSeq lists it as uncharacterized. The transcript is spliced from 3 exons. The record is from RefSeq and is a predicted model, not a curated record. NCBI's taxonomy places the organism in Eukaryota, Metazoa, Chordata, Actinopteri, Salmoniformes, Salmonidae.
GUCGGUAGUAGGUGAUAGUAGUGGUCGGUAGUAGGUGAUAGUAGUGGUCGGUAGUAGGUGAUAGUAGUGGUCGGUAGUAGGUGAUAGUAGUGGUCAGUAGUAGGUGAUAGUAGUGGUCAGUAGUAGGUGAUAGUUGGUCAGUAGUGGGUGAUAGUAGUGGUCGGUAGUAGGUGAUAGUAGUGGUCAGUAGUAGGUGAUAGUAGUGGUCAGUAGUAGGUGAUAGUAGUGGUCAGUAGUGGGUGAUAGUAGUGGUCGGUAGUAGGUGAUAGUAGUGGUCGGUAGUAGGUGAUAGUAGUGGUCGGUAGUGGGUGAUAGUAGUGGUCGGUAGUGGGUGAUAGUAGUGGUCAGUAGUAGGUGAUAGUAGUGGUCAGUAGUAGGUGAUAGUAGUGGUCAGUAGUAGGUGAUAGUAGUGGUCAGUAGUAGGUGAUAGUAGUGGUCAGUAGUAGGUGAUAGUAGUGGUCAGUAGUGGGUGAUAGUAGUGGUCGGUAGUAGGUGAUAGUAGUGGUCAGUAGUAGGUGAUAGUAGUGGUCAGUAGUGGGUGAUAGUAGUGGUCGGUAGUAGGUGAUAGUAGUGGUCGGUAGUAGGUGAUAGUAGUGGUCGGUAGUAGGUGAUAGUAGUGGUCGGUGGUAGGUGAUAGUAGUGGUCGGUAGUAGGUGAUAGUUAGUAGUGGUCGGUAGUGGGUGAUAGUAGGGGUCGGUAGUGGGUGAUAGUAGUGGUCAGUAGUGGGUGAUAGUAGGGGUCGGUAGUGGGUGACAGUGGUAGUUGGUAGUGGGUGAUAGUUAGUAGUGGUCAGUAGUGGGUGAUAGUUGUGGUCGGUAGUAGAUGAUAGUAGUGGUCGGUAGUGGGUGACAGUGGUAGUUGGUAGUGGGUGAUAGUUAGUAGUGGUCAGUAGUGGGUGAUAGUAGGGGUCGGUAGUGGG